GAUGAACGCUAGCUACAGGCUUAACACAUGCAAGUCGAGGGGCAUCAGGAAGAAAGCUUGCUUUCUUUGCUGGCGACCGGCGCACGGGUGAGUAACACGUAUCCAACCUGCCCUUUACUCGGGGAUAGCCUUUCGAAAGAAAGAUUAAUGCCCGAUAGCAUAAUGAUUCCGCAUGGUUUCAUUAUUAAAGGAUUCCGGUAAAGGAUGGGGAUGCGUUCCAUUAGGUUGUUGGUGAGGUAACGGCUCACCAAGCCUUCGAUGGAUAGGGGUUCUGAGAGGAAGGUCCCCCACAUUGGAACUGAGACACGGUCCAAACUCCUACGGGAGGCAGCAGUGAGGAAUAUUGGUCAAUGGGCGCUAGCCUGAACCAGCCAAGUAGCGUGAAGGAUGAAGGCUCUAUGGGUCGUAAACUUCUUUUAUAUAAGAAUAAAGUGCAGUAUGUAUACUGUUUUGUAUGUAUUAUAUGAAUAAGGAUCGGCUAACUCCGUGCCAGCAGCCGCGGUAAUACGGAGGAUCCGAGCGUUAUCCGGAUUUAUUGGGUUUAAAGGGAGCGUAGGUGGACUGGUAAGUCAGUUGUGAAAGUUUGCGGCUCAACCGUAAAAUUGCAGUUGAUACUGUCAGUCUUGAGUACAGUAGAGGUGGGCGGAAUUCGUGGUGUAGCGGUGAAAUGCUUAGAUAUCACGAAGAACUCCGAUUGGGAAGGCAGCUCACUGGACUGCAACUGACACUGA
RNAcentral lists this ribosomal RNA (731 nucleotides) under uncultured bacterium. RNAcentral describes it as "bacterial SSU rRNA". It matches the Rfam family "Bacterial small subunit ribosomal RNA", at positions 28 to 749 of the family's 1533-position model. The record is from RNAcentral.